Molecule: ribosomal RNA, 435 nt
Filed under: uncultured bacterium
Lineage: Bacteria
Description: partial 16S ribosomal RNA
Rfam family: Bacterial small subunit ribosomal RNA
Source: RNAcentral
GAUGAACGCUGGCGGUAUGCUUAACACAUGCAAGUCGAACGGACUCUUCGGAGUUAGUGGCGGACGGGUGAGUAACGCGUGAGAAUCUGGCUUUGGGUUCGGGACAACCACCGGAAACGGUGGCUAAUACCGGAUGUGCCGAGAGGUAAAAGAGAAAUUGCCUGAAGAUGAGCUCGCGUCUGAUUAGCUAGUUGGUGAGGUAAAGGCUCACCAAGGCAGCGAUCAGUAGCUGGUCUGAGAGGAUGACCAGCCACACUGGGACUGAGACACGGCCCAGACUCCUACGGGAGGCAGCAGUGGGGAAUUUUCCGCAAUGGGCGAAAGCCUGACGGAGCAAUACCGCGUGAGGGAAGAAGGCUCUUGGGUUGUAAACCUCUUUUCUUAGGGAAGAACAAAAUGACGGUACCUAAGGAAUCAGCAUCGGCUAACUCCGUG